GACGAACGCUGGCGGCGGGCUUAACACAUGCAAGUCGAACGGUAAACCUCUUCAGAGGGGAGCAGUGGCGAACGGGUGCGUAACACGUGGGCAACCUGCCCCCGGCUCUGGGAUAACUCCAAGAAAUUGGGGCUAAUACCGGAUGUUCACCGCUUCGCGCCUGGGUGGUGGUGGAAAGGGUUUCCGGCUGGGGCUGGGCCCGCGGCCGAUCGGCUUGUUGGUGGGGUAAUGGCCUACGUAGGCGGGGACGGGUAGCCGCACUGAGAGGAGGGCGAGCCACACUGGAAGUGAGACACGCUCCAGAGGCCUAGGGGAGGCACCAGUGGGGAAUAGGGGGCAAUGGGGGGGAAACUGAUGCAGCCGGGCCGAGGGUGUGAAGAGGGCCUUCGGGUUGGGAAGGACGGUCUGCGGGGAGGAAGCGUGUUAAGGGAAGACCGAGGCGCAUUGACGGUACCCGCAGAAGAAGCACCGGCUAAAUCCGUG
RNAcentral lists this ribosomal RNA (483 nucleotides) under uncultured bacterium. RNAcentral describes it as "partial 16S ribosomal RNA". It matches the Rfam family "Bacterial small subunit ribosomal RNA", at positions 28 to 507 of the family's 1533-position model. The record is from RNAcentral.